Molecule: non-coding RNA, 1263 nt
Organism: Paramuricea clavata
Lineage: Eukaryota; Metazoa; Cnidaria; Anthozoa; Malacalcyonacea; Plexauridae
Source: the annotation of a GenBank genome assembly
CUAACUUUUAUACUGUUGUUUGUACAAUAUAAUUUUUUGUGUGUUAAAUCUUCACAAAAUGUCAAAUUCCGUGGGUAAUCCCGAUAGCCCCCCUCCCCCCACUGGGGCAAACCACUGACAAGGCAUCAUGCAAAGACAUCAGGCAAAGACAUUAAUUAUUCAAAGCAAACUUGCCCUAUAUUAUACGAUUUCCCACAGUAAAUAAGUUCUUCUCAUUUCUUUAAGCAAAAAUUGCUUUAAACUCUUGUACAUGAAAUAAUUUUCCAAAUAUUUGUCUUUCAAAAUUGAAUUCUUGCUUAUCCCACUCCUGGCAAUCCGCCAUAUUUUUGAGAUCGAUCAGUGAGGAGGUCCAUCCAUACGCCAUGACACCACUUUGGGCCAUUGAACUAUUAGUAAACUAGAACGUUUACUCCUAUAAUAGAGGCCUAUGUUUGGGCGGAGCCAAAUUUCGGGCGCUCAAGUACAGCCUGUUCGCAGGUAUAUGUAUACGAAAAUAAAUACUGAUUUUUUUUACGAAGUAUUUUUACUAAUUUAUUCCCUAAUCUUAACUUAUUAAAGUACGUUUCUGAAUGUGUGGACAUCCAUUAACAACUGUAUCUAAGAUUUUUCUGCAUAAAUUGUAUAAAAUUGUCUCAGAACGCUUUCUGCAAAGUCUAAAAACUCAGAAAAACCAUACAUUUUCGCUCGGUUUUUUGCCGAGUUUCGUUUUGUUCGUGUCAUAUUUCGGGGUUAAACAAUAUUUACUUAUUUCAUGUGCCUUAGAUAAAAGUUGUGUUGUCUAAGUGUGCUCUAGGAUAAAUAUAAAUGCCUUGAAAAAGUAAAAAGGAGAAAAUAUUAACGAUUUUUAAGCUGUAUCUUUCACAUCCAUUUUGUAAAAAAGGACUGGGGCUACCUGCAGAAAACACUCAUGGCCGGCUUCAAAGAUGGCGGCGAACUUAUCGUUCCAGUUUACUUAUAGAUCAAUGCUUUGGACUUCGCUAAUGCUUUCGUUUCCCUGGGUGUAAAUAGCCGGGCGGAAUUAGUACCCUCGCACGGCGCUUCGCGCUGUCACGGAUUAUAGAUCAUACCAGAUGUCUCACUCAUACAUAUCCGUCGGCCGCCAUUUUGGCAGUAAGUGUAAUUCACGCCAUGAAACGUGAUCAUGACGCGAGCAAUAACGCCAUCUUAAGUCACAAACCGAGAAAUUAACUGGACGUAAAUGAAAGAAUUAACAUUUUAUUUUAAUAUUUUGUUGUUUGUAAGUGAAAAAACGUGAGUAAAAAU